Vicia villosa (hairy vetch) is the source of this 4173-nucleotide long non-coding RNA. RefSeq lists it as uncharacterized. The record is from RefSeq and is a predicted model, not a curated record. The transcript is spliced from 6 exons. Lineage: Eukaryota; Viridiplantae; Streptophyta; Magnoliopsida; Fabales; Fabaceae.
UUAUGAAAAAAAACAGAAAAAUCGGUCACAAAUUCGGUCACUAAAUUCGUCGCAAAAGCUAAACGUAUUAGUUACCGAUUUUUAAGCUUUUUCGGUCACUAAAAGCGAGUUUUCUAGUAGUGUGAACACGUUUUUCUUUCUUGCAACCUUCUUGAUUAUUUCUUUUUUUAGUUUUACAUAAAGAUUCAUUGAGAACUAUUUUGAAGAGAUCGUUCACAGAGGAUAUAUUUUUGCAAGAAGCCCAGAUAAAAGAUCUUGUUUGGAUUUUAAAGUUUCAGUUUUUAUAGUUCUUCAAAUCUAGCAAAUGAGUUUGUUUUUGUUCAUGUUUUUUUACUCCAUGUUUGGAUCAAAAUCUAUGGCAUUGUUCUAAUGUAUUUUUGCAAUGUUCUUGUCAUUUUUUCAUAUGUAUUUGUUUUGUGUAUUUUUUCAGGGUUAAGCAGGUUCAGCUUCCGCAUGCAACUGUUGAUCCAGAAAAAGAAAAAUUGAAAAACUUGAUAACAAUAUGAAGCUAUUUUAUGGGUUUUAUAGUGUUUUACAGUGGGUUUUAUAAUGUUUUACAUUUCUUGGUCAGUUUAUGGGUUUUAUAGUGUUUUUAUAUUUUAUUUUGUUUUUGGAAAUUGUUAUUUUGUGAUUAAAAUUGGUGUAAUUUAAUUGCAGGAAGAGUGUGUGGGCUAAUUAUUGUUUAUCAUUUGAUAACAACAAGCUCGCUUCAAGAUUUGGGUGCGAGGAAUAUUUCUCAGAUUUGUUCUAUUCUAAUGAUGGUUAAUUUGACUUUUUGAAUUUUUUUUAAUCUUAGAAGCUUAAUUAAUUAAGAUUUAGGAAUUUAUUGUGGUUUUCAUAAUUGAAGGUUUUGUGUUGUAUGUGUUUUCUAAAUUUAUAAGAUCUUGUGUGUGGUUUCUUCAAGAAUGCAUGUAGCAUGUCAAAUUCUAAUGGAUUCAAGUACCGAAGUGGCUCGUAUAUAUUUUUACAAUGCCCAAAAGAUUCUCCAUUUGAAUGGUGAGUGUGGUUCUUUUGUGAAUUAGAACUUUUUUAUAAAUAGCAUCUCAAAUGGAUUCUUAGUGCUUAAUACUUUAAUAUAAAGUUUGAUUAUUUUUUCUGGAGAGAAAAAGAGAUAUUUGUGUUUAUUAUGUUCUAAUUAAGAUGUUACUAACUAAUAAAAUGUUACCUUUUUGAUUGGAUUUUAUUUAUGCAGAUGUGGUCUUGACAGUGACAAUUAUUGUAUAGUUCUUGUUAAUAUUGAGUAGAACACUUGUGAUAUUGUUAAGGGAUGUGCAUGGUCAUUUGUGCUGCUAAUUCAUCAUCAAUAGAUCUGAGUUGAUUUCUUAAUUCCUAGUUUGUAUGGUGUGCAUGGUCCUCUUUCCAAAACUUCUUUUCGUCUCUACACGACAAUCUAAACAACCCUUUCUCUUCUCUUGCCCCAAGUUGUUUUUGGAACCCUAAUUUUUGCUGACAAAAGCCUGCUUUCUUGAUAAUCUGCAAUUUUCUGCUCUGUUGGAACAAUGUCUCUUUCUCUUAUACUUUAAUUCAAAUUUCAAACAACAUAAUUAUUUUCUCUUUCUCUCUCGUCCUUUUUUUUUCUUUCUCUCUUUCUCUCUGACCUUUUAUUCCUCUUCUUCUUUCUUUUCAUUUUCAUCUUCAUCUUCCACUUCUUUGUUCUUUCUUUUCUUAACUUUGUUUUGAUGUACUGUUCUACUAUUAUAAAUAACUUAAAAUGCAAUAACGGGUGGAGAUUCAAAUGAAGAAGGAAGAGCAGUGGAUUUUCAAGAGCUGCUUCUGUGUAUAGAGGUGUGACAAGUUUUUCAGACACCGUCAACAUGGAAGGUGGAAGCCUCGAAACGGAAGGGUUGCUGGAAACAAAGACUUGUAUCUUGGUACAUUUAGUAAGUUCUCUUACCCUCCCUCGCUAAUUUGAACCCGUUUGCUUUGUCAGCUUAGCGAGUAAGGACCAUUUUGCAUAUUACAUAUUGUUAUGAUCAAUGAUCAUCUUUGGCUGUUAAAUAUUAAAUCAGUUAUGUGGUCUUUGUUCUUAUGAGUUUUGUCAACGUUUUGUGGAUGACGACAACAAUUUCUAUUGAGGAUGUAAGAAGAUAAGUGAAGAUAUUGUGAGUUAUGACUGGUCAUCCAAAUCUGGUACAAUUCUAUGAAGCCUAUGAAGACAAUGAAAAUGUUUAUAUAAUUAUGCAGUAAGUUCUUAUUACCCAUAUUUUUUGUCAUAACUUUACUUGUACCUUCAUGGUUCAAUGCUACUGAAAAGUUUGCGCAUGUUUUGAAACUCAUAAACUCACUUUGCCAUUGAUUGAGAGACUAUCAGAUUUACAAAAGCUAUAUGAAAUUAUUGUGUCAAAAUUUUGUUUAUCCAUCAAUGCUUGGGUAAUCGAGGUUUCUGUUUUUAAUGAACCUUUUGCAGUCUAUAAGGACUUUUCAAAGGAUUUACAUGAUGCAGAGUAUUGAUUUGGUUAUCGUGAGAGGAGCUAUGGUAAAUUAAAUGAUUUUCCUUUCGCCUAUAACGGAAUUUUUGCUCGACAACACAUUUACUCUCUUCUGAGGUUUGGUUAUGUUUUCUAAAACAUUGUGGUUAUGCUCACAUUGCAUAAUCAUAUACACUACAUAUGGAUCAUAGAAGGACCUAUUGUGGAUGUCCUGGUUUUAAUAAGAAAAUAAAAUCCUUGCAGGUGUAAGUCAUUACUUAUAAUCCCUCAGUAUCAUACUCUGACAUUCAUUUAGUAGCUUCUGAAAUUGCUCUAACCAUCUGUAGAUACAAAGAUGUUUCUGAGGCUGGUGUCUUCCUUCUUGAUUAACAACUUUAUGCGCGUUCGAAAUAUGUAUGACCCAUUAAUCCUCUUAGAAAAUAUAACUACUUGUGUUUAUUUGUUUGUUAUAGGUGAUGAGCAGCAGUUUUUGCAGUUACAAUCUAUUUUCUUUUAAGUUUAGUCAUACUUGUGUUUUGACAUAAUUAGCAAGCCAUGAUAAUACUGAGAAGCACCUGCAUUGAUGGGUGGUAUCUCACUGAUGUAAUGGGGUGAACAUGGAUAUCGAAUUUCUGUUAUCGAGGGUAAAUCCUCAUAGAGAUUAUUUCAUUCUCUUUUUGAAAAUGGUGUCUUAGUAGAGGUGUUUCCAGAACUGCAUACAUCAGGCAAGUGAUUUAUGGGGAAGACCGAUUGCUCAUUGUGCAGUCAGAAGAGAUUGAUGAGCUUAAAAUGCUGCACCUUAAACUUCCAAGACACUACAAAGCACCAUCCAUUGAUGAAGACAAACGGUUCCAGCCAUUCGCUUCAGUAUCUUACCAGAACAUAUUGCAGGAGUUUGAUGUUUGUGUGGACCGGGGUUGAUACGGUGCAAGUUACGGUUUUGAUUUGGUUUUCUUUGUUCUACUGCGGAUUUUGGCACUGUGAUGCAGGGUGGGACUGACACGGAUUGGUUUAUGGUCGAUAGCAUUGGUCGUUUGAAUAAUUGGGGAGAAGCCCAUUCAAUCAAAGUAGAGAAGAUAUUGUUCAAGGAAAAGUCAUUAUACCAAGAGGUCUUGGUUUUUUAGUCUGGUGACACAAUUCUCAUUCAAGAUGCAACGGGAGAAAAGGUUAGCAAGUUUAAUCAAUUUGCUACAUCAUUUUUUGGUGGCUUUGUGGUUGCUGCUACUUAGGCUCCACAUUUAGCUACAAACAUAGUUGUCAUUAUUUUGGAUUCAGUAGAGAAAUCAUCCAAGGGAGGAUUUUGAGCUUCUUCAUUAAGCUCUUGGAAGAAGUUGGAGGAGAAGAAAAAUUAACUGGCACUAAGGUAGCACAUGAGGUUGAUGCAAUAGGAAGAACAGCAGUGACAACAAUGUUAGCUGGAUGCACUGCAACUUUAACGACGUUGUUGGGUAAACGCGUGCAAACUGGUCAUUGGAAUGUUACCGAUGUAUGUAACGGUCUUCUUAGUGGUUUUGCUGCUAUAACCGCAGGUUGUUCUGCUAUAACCGUAGGUUGUUCUGCUAUAACCGUAUGAUGGGACAAUGGAGAGAUUAAUGGUGUUCACUGAGUUUUAUAUCUGUUGCUACGGUUUAGAAAGAUAGUUGUUCAAAAUAAGCCUUGUACCGAUGUUGGUUCUAUUAACAUGAUAAAUACACAUCAAUAGAAGAGAAUUGUGAUGAUAUGAAAAAUGUUAAAAAUGAAUAUUGGAAUGAACAGAUUAAAUUCA